CGUAGGGUGCGAGCGUUAAUCGGAAUUACUGGGCGUAAAGCGUGCGCAGGCGGUUUAGUAAGACAGGCGUGAAAUCCCCGGGCUCAACCUGGGAACUGCGCUUGUGACUGCUAAGCUAGAGUACGGCAGAGGGGGUGGAAUUCCACGUGUAGCAGUGAAAUGCGUAGAGAUGUGGAGGAACACCAAUGGCGAAGGCAGCCCCCUGGGUCGAUACUGACGCUCAUGCACGAAAGCGUGGGUAGCAAACAGGAUUAGAUACCCUGGUAGUCCACGCCCUAAACGAUGUCAACUAGGUGUUGGGAGGGUAAAACCUUUUAGUACCGGAGCUAACGCGUGAAGUUGACCGCCUGGGGAGUACGGCCGCAAGGUAA
RNAcentral lists this ribosomal RNA (371 nucleotides) under uncultured organism. RNAcentral's name for it is "bacterial SSU rRNA". It matches the Rfam family "Bacterial small subunit ribosomal RNA", at positions 526 to 896 of the family's 1533-position model. The record is from RNAcentral.